Molecule: ribosomal RNA, 440 nt
Filed under: uncultured bacterium
Lineage: Bacteria
Description: partial 16S ribosomal RNA
Rfam family: Bacterial small subunit ribosomal RNA
Source: RNAcentral
CCUACGGGAGGCAGCAGUGGGGAAUAUUGGACAAUGGGGGGAACCCUGAUCCAGCGACGCCGCGUGAGUGAAGAAGUAUUUCGGUAUGUAAAGCUCUAUCAGCAGGGAAGAAAAUGACGGUACCUGACUAAGAAGCCCCGGCUAACUACGUGCCAGCAGCCGGGGGAAUAAGGAGGGGGCAGGCGUUAUCCGGAUUUACUGGGUGUAAAGGGAGCGUAGACGGUGCAGCAAGUCUGGUGUGAAAGGUCGGGGCCCAACCCCGGGACAGCAUUGGAAACUGGUGAACUGGAGUACAGGAGAGGUAGGCGGAAGUCGUAGUGUAGCGGUGAAAUGCGUAGAUAUUGGGAAGAACCCCGGUGGCGAAGGCAGCUUACUGGACUGUAACUGACGUUGAGGCUCGAAAGCGUGGGGAGCGAACAGGAUUAGAUACCCGGGUAGUC